This 253-nucleotide ribosomal RNA is filed under the name uncultured bacterium. RNAcentral's name for it is "partial 16S ribosomal RNA". It matches the Rfam family "Bacterial small subunit ribosomal RNA", at positions 524 to 776 of the family's 1533-position model. The record is from RNAcentral.
UACGAAGGGGGCUAGCGUUGCUCGGAAUCACUGGGCGUAAAGGGUGCGUAGGCGGGUCUUUAAGGGAGGGGGGAAAUCCUGGAGCUCAACUCCAGAACUGCCUUUGAUACUGAAGAUCUUGAGUUCGGGAGAGGUGAGUGGAACUGCGAGUGUAGAGGUGAAAUUCGUAGAUAUUCGCAAGAACACCAGUGGCGAAGGCGGCUCACUGGCCCGAUACUGACGCUGAGGCACGAAAGCGUGGGGAGCAAACAGG